Molecule: ribosomal RNA, 253 nt
Filed under: uncultured bacterium
Lineage: Bacteria
Description: partial 16S ribosomal RNA
Rfam family: Bacterial small subunit ribosomal RNA
Source: RNAcentral
UACGUAGGGUGCGAGCGUUAAUCGGAAUUACUGGGCGUAAAGCGUGCGCAGGCGGUCUGUUAAGACAGAUGUGAAAUCCCCGGGCUUAACCUGGGAACUGCAUUUGUGACUGGCAGGCUAGAGUACGGUAGAGGGGGAUGGAAUUCCGCGUGUAGCAGUGAAAUGCGUAGAUAUGCGGAGGAACACCGAUGGCGAAGGCAAUCCCCUGGACCUGUACUGACGCUCAUGCACGAAAGCGUGGGGAGCAAACAGG